RNAcentral lists this ribosomal RNA (253 nucleotides) under uncultured bacterium. RNAcentral's name for it is "partial 16S ribosomal RNA". It matches the Rfam family "Bacterial small subunit ribosomal RNA", at positions 524 to 776 of the family's 1533-position model. The record is from RNAcentral.
AACGUAGGAUGCGAGCGUUAUCCGGAUUUACUGGGCGUAAAGCGCGUGUAGGCGGUUCGGUAAGUUGGAUGUGAAAGCUCCCGGCUUAACUGGGAGAGGUCGUUCAAUACUGCCGAGCUAGAGGAUGGUAGAGGGAGGUGGAAUUCCGAGUGUAGUGGUGAAAUGCGUAGAUAUUCGGAGGAACACCAGUGGCGAAAGCGGCCUCCUGGACCAUUUCUGACGCUCAGACGCGAAAGCUAGGGUAGCAAACGGG